UCUAGAGUGUGUCCCGAACCAGCCCAGGGGCUCGAGUUCCUGCCCCCUGGCAAGAGGCCUGGGAUCUUAGCUGAUGUGGUUUUUCUCAGGCUACCAGGAGGGAUAUCAUUGAAAAACAUGGAGUCCAACUUCCAAGAGCAAUGCUAUUGUGCACCGAAGGACGUUGCGGAAGUUUCUGGACUCAAAGUACGGGUUUCCAAACUGGAGCACUUGUGCAAUCGAACAACCUGAAGAGGGGCCAGAUGGAGGCGGCCUCUUUAGCUUAUAGCAGCACCCACCAAUCGCCGAAAACCCUUGAGAGCGACCAGCACAGAAAGACCCUGAAGGCACUCACCAACACAGCAGAGGACCAGAAUGGUGGAUCUUGAAGACCACA
Molecule: long non-coding RNA, 376 nt
Organism: Paramormyrops kingsleyae
Lineage: Eukaryota; Metazoa; Chordata; Actinopteri; Osteoglossiformes; Mormyridae
Source: RefSeq, a predicted model, not a curated record